This is an RNA transcript of Mus musculus (house mouse), 3726 nucleotides long. It is a transcript of the gene named KH domain containing 4, pre-mRNA splicing factor, with no coding region annotated. The transcript has 13 exons. Lineage: Eukaryota; Metazoa; Chordata; Mammalia; Rodentia; Muridae. The record is from RefSeq and is marked validated.
GUAGUUGGCGGGUGGUUGACUGGAGCAGGCCGCCAUGUCCGCAGGGAGCGCGACACAUCCUGCCGCUGGCGGGCGCCGCAGCAAAUGGGAUCAGCCAGCGCCAGCUCCGCUUCUCUUCCUGCCGCCAACGGCCCCAGGUGGAGAAGUCGCUGGCAGCGGGGCGAGCCCCGGGGGCGCCACCACCGCCGCCGCUCCUUCAGGAGCCUUGGAUGCCGCCGCUGCCGUGGCUGCCAAGAUCAAUGCUAUGCUCAUGGCCAAAGGGAAGCUGAAACCAUCUCAGAAUGCGGCCGAGAAGCUUCAGGCCCCUGGCAAAAGCCUAACUAGCAAUAAAAGCAAAGAUGACCUGGUGGUGGCUGAAGUAGAAAUCAAUGACGUGCCUCUGACAUGCAGAAACCUGCUGACACGAGGACAGACACAAGAUGAGAUCAGUCGGCUUAGUGGGGCUGCUGUGUCAACUCGGGGACGGUUCAUGACGACUGAGGAGAAGGCCAAAGUGGGACCUGGAGACCGUCCAUUGUAUCUUCAUGUUCAGGGACAGACACGGGAAUUAGUAGACAGAGCUGUAAACCGAAUCAAAGAAAUAAUCACCAAUGGAGUGGUGAAGGCUGCCACAGGGACAAGUCCAACUUUCAAUGGUGCAACAGUCACUGUCUAUCACCAGCCAGCUCCCAUUGCUCAGUUAUCACCUGCUAUUAACCAGAAGCCUUCCUUCCAGUCCGGAAUGCAUUAUGUUCAAGAUAAACUAUUUGUGGGUCUAGAACAUGCGGUGCCCACUUUUAAUGUUAAAGAGAAAGUAGAAGGUCCAGGCUGCUCUUAUUUGCAACACAUUCAAAUUGAAACUGGUGCCAAAGUCUUUCUACGAGGGAAAGGCUCAGGCUGCAUUGAGCCAGCGUCAGGCCGAGAGGCUUUUGAACCCAUGUAUAUUUAUAUCAGUCAUCCCAAACCUGAAGGCCUGGCUGCUGCCAAGAAGCUCUGCGAGAAUCUCUUACAAACAGUUCAUGCUGAGUAUUCUAGAUUUGUGAAUCAAAUUAAUACUGCUGUACCAUUACCAGGCUAUACACAACCCUCUGCUAUAAGUAGUAUCCCUCCUCAACCACCAUAUUAUCCAUCCAAUGGCUAUCAGUCUGGUUACCCUGUUGUUCCCCCUCCUCAGCAGCCAGUUCAGCCUCCCUACGGAGUACCAAGCAUAGUGCCACCAGCUGUUUCAUUGGCACCUGGAGUCUUGCCAGCAUUACCUACUGGGGUCCCACCUGUGCCAACACAGUAUCCGAUAACACAAGUGCAACCUCCAGCCAGCACUGGACAGAGCCCAAUAAGUGCUCCUUUUAUUCCUGCUGCUCCUGUCAAAACUGCCUUGCCUACUGGCCCCCAGCCCCAGCCCCAACUCCCAGCUCAGCCACAGUCACAGAAGAGGCGAUUCACAGAGGAGCUGCCUGAUGAACGGGACUCUGGACUGCUUGGAUACCAGGUACAGGCUUCUCCAGUCAGAAUGAGAUAGAAGGCGCAGGAUCGAAGCCGGCAAGUUCCUCAGGCAAAGAGCGAGAGAGGGACAGGCAGUUGAUGCCUCCACCAGCCUUUCCAGUGACUGGAAUAAAAACUGAGUCUGAUGAAAGGAAUGGGUCUGGGGCCUUAGCCGGAAGCCAUGGUGAGUACAGUGCAGCUGGGGGUGGGAUGACAAGUAGGGGUGGAAACGGUUAGUCUUCUAUCCCGGUGGUCAACCAGAUUAAUCCAAUUUCAGUCAUCUACUGGCUAAUAACAACACUUUUUUUUUAUUUUAUUUAAUUUGUAAGGACAGUAUAUAGCUUUCCGUUUUUAGCCAUUCUGUGUCAGGAAUAGAGUUGCCUAAUUUAUAUUUUAUACAUCCCAGUGGCAUUAAAGUCCUAGGAAAUACUAAUGAUUGGGAGGUAAUUUCAAAAUCUUGUGCUCAUUUUGUCUAAUUGGGGGUCAUCAGAUGUAGAUUUAGGAAAAGUUACUUUUCCUAUGUGUUGGGAGCUGAGCUCAUCACCCCACAGCAUCCCUGCACUCUGCAUCCUGUGCAUGGGCUCGCUGUAUUCCGUGCCUCUAGUUGAUAAAAGUGAACAGAAGAAGAAAAAACGUUUUUCUUUUCUUCUUUUCUUUUAGCUCUUUAAGAGGUGAAAUGUUAGUCUCCAGAGACUCACUUGCUAACUUUCCUUUUUUCUUUUCUUUUUUUUUUCUUUUUUCUUUCUCUGUUUUCUUACAUGGUUCUGGUGGAUUGUCAUUUGCUGGUGCUGGCUGUUUUUCGUGAUAUCAUCAACGUUAUGGGGUGACCAUUGACCCUGUGGCUACAAAAUGGUGUCCAACUAACCACUUAUAAUUAACAUCUUUUUUUUUAAUUAACGAAUUUAUGGUAUUUUUUCUUGGUGGGGGAUGGGGUCGGGGUUGUGGUUGUUCUCUCUUCUAGAUUAUCCAGCCAAGAAGAUGAAAACGGCAGAGAAGGGAUUUGGCUUAGUAGCUUACGCUGCAGACUCCUCUGAUGAAGAGGAAGAACAUGGAGGUCAUAAAAAUGCAAGUAGCUUUCCACAGGGCUGGAGUUUGGGCUAUCAGUAUCCUUCAUCACAGCCACGAGCUAAGCAGCAGAUGCCAUUUUGGAUGGCCCCAUAGAAAAUAGUGGACAGAGCUUUGACCCUCAGUGACUCUUCUUAGCAAUAAUGCAUGCACUUGAUUAAACAAGACUCUGGGACCUGUUCUGGGGGCCAUCUUGGAUCUUCGAAGAUGUUAGGGACACAGUGUCCCCUGUCAUAAAGGGACGCCAUUCUUUUUAAAACCCUAUUUCUGCAGUGGCAUAACAUCCGUUAAAAUUCACUUAGAAUCACAAAUUUGCAUCAAGCUUUUUAACAGUUGAUGAAAUGUGCUUGUCCAGUGAGAUACCAGGACAGAGUCAUUGCUACAUAUGUUUGACCUGAUCUAGCCUUUUCCAAAUGAAUAGCCUCAACUCUGUUGUAAAGAAAGUUUUAUUUGUAUUUUACUACUAUUGGGUCAAUUUUGAUAACUGGUUACAAACAAAAAGCCUUACUAUUUAUUAGUGGGAAAUGGUUUUAAGACCCUUCCUUCCAUACUUACAUGUAAUUCUAAGAGCUCCUCAUCCCUCUUUCCAUUUGGAGUCUUUGUUUGGAAAAUGCUGUUUUACUAAUUUAGAAUGGUCAAAUACAACUGGAUCCUGAACAGGAAAAUGCAGUUAUUUUUGCAUUCUUUCUUUACUGGGAUGAUCCAAAGCUGGCACCUUUAGGCACACUUGUUUCAGAUAGCCAUUGCUGUUGGCACUGCCCUUCUAAGCUCCCGGUUUCCAACUGGGUCAAAGAAAACGCGAAACACUCAUCUGUCUCUCUCAGAACUGGCUGCAGCGAGAAGAGGGAUGUGGUGCCACCGACAGGACGGUGACUGACUGGAAUUGCAACUUGUCCUUUUUUCUUGGCAUUGCGGGUUUUGCCAAAAGAACUUUUUUGUAUCAAAUAUUCAUGUGUGGAAGUGAAGGAAUUGGUGGUGAGCCAGGAGCGUCUGAGAUACUGUCAUUUUUGCACAUUUUUGAAUACUUUGCGGGCUGGCUUUGUACAAACUUAUUCUCUGGUUUCUUGUAUGUUGUAAAUAAUUAGACCAUAAUUUCAUUAUAAAUAAAUGUAUAAAUAUUCUGCUUGUCAUUUCUCUUUUUCUUCCCUAGCCUGUUCAUACACUAAUAUCAAUAAACUCUUCAAUUAUUUAUUUUUUUAA